CUCCCUUCUUUUUCUUUUCCAGCCAACAGCUGCCUUUUCUUUCCCUCGCUGUCUCGGUUUCUUGGCAGCAGCCAUCGAAGCUCACUGGAGCUCAUCGAAGCUACCAGUAGAAAGGGGAAAAGCAGCCCUAGUGGCUAUUCUCUUCCAGAAAACAAGUGCAACAACUCUUUCCCCCUUCUUUCGUUGUUUUUUCCAACCAACCACAACCAUCGGAGCCCCGCCGAAGCUAGCCGUGGCCAUUGGCGAAAAGGUGAAAAGCACGAGCAAUUCCUGAUCUCAUCACUUCAAGUGAGGACAGUGGUGCUCCAACCGAUUGCUAAGCCAAGAGGAUCGAAGAGCCACCGUUGGCUCCUCAUUUUUCAAACUCUGAGGUUAUUGGUAGUAUGAUGACCAAUUAAAGGACAAAGGAACAAAUAUUCAUGGCAGCUGGUUCUUCAUCAUCAACAUCUUUCACUCGAAGACGCAUGAAUGAUGAAUAAGGUGAAACACCUCAUAUAUUAUGCUAUUGUGGGUUAAGAGCUACUCUCUGGACUUCAUGGAAGGAAACCAACCCAGGCAAGUGUUUUUUUUCAUGCCCAAAAUUUAUAGUAAGUUUUAUUUAUAUAAAAUGAUUUCAAAACCAACCGUAUUUAUAUGCUUUUUAAUUAUUGGAUUUUGAUUAAGUUUAUUCGAUAUUCAGGAAAGAGGAUGUGACUUCUUCAGUCAUAAUCCAGUCAGAGAGAACUAAGGGAAUUAUUAAUGAUCUGAAUAAGGAUAACAAAAAAUUACAGAUGAAUAUUAGUGAAUUGAAGAAAUUUAAUAUGUACAUCAAAAGUGUAGUUGAUUGCAAUGUUCUCCUGGAGCCUGUGAACAACUCUGUUACUAUGAAGUUGAGUGAUGAAAUAUGUUCAUUGAAUAGAAAAUUUAGAGUUGCUAUCGUUGUAGUUAUAUUUACUUGGAUUGUGAUGAUUUAGAGGUGGUUGGUAUAAUUUGCUAUAAGUAAAUAACUGUUGAAGUAAUGAAAGGUGUUUUUGGUUUUUUAA
This is a long non-coding RNA of Zingiber officinale, 1022 nucleotides long. RefSeq lists it as uncharacterized. The record is from RefSeq and is a predicted model, not a curated record. The transcript is spliced from 3 exons. NCBI's taxonomy places the organism in Eukaryota, Viridiplantae, Streptophyta, Magnoliopsida, Zingiberales, Zingiberaceae.